This 441-nucleotide long non-coding RNA is filed under the name Olea europaea (common olive). RNAcentral's name for it is "long non-coding RNA (OEUR_LNC001136)". Lineage: Eukaryota; Viridiplantae; Streptophyta; Magnoliopsida; Lamiales; Oleaceae. The record is from RNAcentral.
CCCUUAUUAAAUAUAUGAUAAAAAGGAAAACAUUUUAUACAAUACAUUACAAGUUUGACAAAAUAAUUAAGAAAAUACAAGGUAUAGAUAAAACCCCUUUUUGAGCUUGCAAUUGAUUUCUCCAAAGCUUUGCCAAAUCCUUAAUUGAAUCUCUUUGUGCUCUAGAAUGUGCCUCCAAAAUACACAAGAAAAGAAAAGAAAAUGAAGAGAAAAGAAAGAAAAAUAGAAACAAAGCAAAAAUUAAAGAGAAAGAAGACCUAGCCCAAGAAUUCCUAGAAUUGACUAACAAAACGGUAUUUAAAUGGCCAAAAAUCAUUUAAGGUGAAAUUGCUAAAGAAGUCCCGAAAUUUACGUGAAAUAGGCAAAAUUUACCUAAUCAGAAGGCGGCGCGCGCACGCGGGCAUUCGUAAGGCCCCUCAACUUUGAUCAUCUACAAUCUGG